This is a non-coding RNA of Bactrocera oleae (olive fruit fly), 7141 nucleotides long. The record is from RefSeq and is a predicted model, not a curated record. Lineage: Eukaryota; Metazoa; Arthropoda; Insecta; Diptera; Tephritidae.
CUUUAAAGUUAAGUUAAUUUAGCAUUUGAAAAAUAUAUUACAUUUGCAAUAUAAAUAAAUAUUUUGCAGAUGACAAUAAAACUUAACGAAACAAUCUUGCCUAAGAUUGCAUUAAGGUUUAGGCAACUCUGGUUUAGUUUUGUAAGUUGGAACCCUGAAGACAUGUGUUUUAGGCUUAAUGAUGCCGUACUUUACUAUUCUAGUAUUGUAUUAGUACACAAUAAAAUAGUACAGCUUUUCAAUAAAUUUUUAAAUUCUUAAGCACUUCUAUUACAAAAUUUUAAAAAACUCUUUUACUGGCAUUAGUUGAAAAACAUGUCUUGCAAUAAAUCAAUUCUGAAAUCUGUAAGUUUUUAAUUCUACUCGCAAAACGUGAAUAUGGCAUCACUAUUAACAUUAUGCCUCAGCAUCCCUGUGUUUCGUGAAAAAAUUUCUUUUUCGUGUUUCGUGAAAAAAAUUUUCGUUCCUAUUUUUCUAAAUUGUGCUAAAAGUGUAAAGUGAAGUGUAUUUUCGUUGAAAUUAUAAUAAAAUUCUCUAUAAAGAGAAUUUAUAAGUGCUAAUCUUAUACUUGUAUAUUGGCAAAGUGAAGGAAUUGCAUAUACAAAUGGAAUUACACUGAAUUGUAUUCGGGGAAGUUGUGACGACUUUGUUCAUGAUUAUUCUCCUCACACACACACACACUCCCUUCCCUGUUAAUGGUAUUCGCAUUUUAGCCAAAACUCCUUAGCCUAUGCCCCUAGUUUUGAAAUGAAAGUUUAAGAAUAUCUGGCUUUGCUCUGGUUGACUCAGUUCCCAGAAGCGUUGCGUUUGUUAAUAUACAUACACGCUUACGUUUUCACGUUCGCAGGUAGAUCGUCCAUCUGCUAAAUACCUGUUCUAUAGCAGUCGGGGGGAAUUCAUUUUUUUUGUCAAAAUGAGUAGUGGCGGUACUUCAGCAGGGCCUGGAACUUCCGAUAAGGACAAGGACUCACAUUGGUACUUCAGUGCUGAACAGCUAUCGAACUCACCAAGUCGACGACAAGGAAUAGAUCCAGAUGCAGAACUCUCGUAUCGCCAAAUGACUGCCUAUCUUAUUCAAGAAAUGGGACAGCGCCUACAGGUCUCGCAGCUUUGCAUCAAUACUGCCAUUGUGUAUAUGCAUCGUUUCUAUGCUUUCCAUUCCUUCACUCAUUUCCAUCGCAAUAACAUUGCGGCUGCGAGUUUAUUCUUAGCGGCUAAGGUCGAAGAGCAGCCUCGAAAGCUUGAACACGUUAUAAAGGCUGCUAACAAGUGCCUUGGUCAGUCAACAUCCUCCACUGCAGAUGCGUAUUAUAUAGAACAAGCACAAGAGCUGGUAUUUAAUGAAAAUGUUUUGCUACAAACUCUUGGGUUUGAUGUUGCUAUUGACCAUCCCCACACUCACGUGGUAAAAACUUGUCAUUUGGUUAAAGCCUGCAAAGACUUAGCACAGACUUCUUAUUUUCUGGCUUCUAAUAGCCUUCAUCUGACAUCUAUGUGCCUACAAUACAAACCGACUGUAGUUGCUUGUUUCUGUAUCUACUUGGCUUGUAAAUGGUCACGAUGGGAGAUUCCACAGUCAACGGAAGGCAAACAUUGGUUCCAUUAUGUGGAUAAAACUGUGACUAUGGAUCUUUUAAAGCAAUUAACUGAUGAGUUCAUAGCAAUUUACGAAAAGAGUCCAUCGCGUCUCAAAUCCAAAUUGAAUUCUAUAAAAGCCCUUGCUCAAAAUGCAAGCAACCGGGUAAUCAAUAAAGAGAAGAAAGGUGCACCCGAAGAGUGGAGAAUGGGGGAUAUGAUGAAAAUGUAUGCACACGAUACACCUGGCAGCGGUGGGAGCAAUAGUAGUAACAGUAAUCAGCCUUAUGCUAUAACCUCUAUAGCUGAACUAUCACAGCAAUCCUCGGCGUUGUUGCCACCACCACCCCCACAGACGCAAUUGUCGCGAAAAGGCGAUUUGCAUUCCAGCCAACACCGCUCCCAUCACAAUUCAACGUCUCAUCAUUCGAAGAUUAAUUUCCCCCCUACCGAUGUUCUUGACCAUAAAAAUAGUCACAAACAGCCGCCGUUUAGUGGAGUUGUUAGCCGCCCACGUGAUCAUUCACAAUCGUCUCAAGGUCAUCAGCAAGCAAUGGUUCCAGGCAAUUCUUCACGUUCAGGUCUUCCAUCAUCCAGCGGACGAUCUCUGAGCAGUAUACCUGGUCAAAGUCUGCCACGUCAGACUUUGCAAAGUCAUCAAUUAGAUGUGAACUAUCAUAAACCUCGAGAAAAGGGUAACAUUGUAGGUUCAUACCCACAUAAUGCGCCAUCACAAUCGCAUGCUGGGCAUAAGGUGUCGCAAAAACAAGACCCGAAUCGAGUGAUACAGAAAGAGCAGACUGCUGUCAAAAUGUCAGAACCUGGAAAAGGCGCCAGUAAUAGUAGUAGCAACAGUAAAAUAUUCCCGCCUACUUCCUCAAUGGCGACUAUGCCCCAAUAUGGUAGCAACCCUUCACAGGUUCAAAGCAAGUUGGAUAUGGGUCAAGAUAUGUCACGUAAUAUUUUGCAUGGUCAGCGUUCUUAUGGGGUUAACAAUGGGUCUGGAAAUGUGCCCAUAUUAGGUAGUUAUCAGCCACCGCAUGCACGGCAGAGUAGUAAUAGCGCUAGUAACAACGGCAAACACGAUUUAUCAAAACCCGCAUCCGUCCACCUUCAACAGCAUGGCAAACAACCAACUAUUCCGACAGAAUCAGUCUACAACACUGGCACGCAUGAAGUUCAGCAAACAGCUGCGCAUGCGCAAUCGCAUCCUACUGCCGGUUAUUUGAUUUCGCGGCCGCCAGAAGGUUCACACAACGAAGAGGCCAAUUCUGCCCAGUUACCGUCAGUUCAUGCGAUACUUCAACAGCCAACGAACGCUAACCAAACAAAGACCUCUAUGUUUAGCCCCGACUGGAGUCAACAACAACAACAAACACAGUUAUUGUCUUCAAAUACUUAUGUUAAUAAUAAUAUGUCAACCACCGUUGUGGGCGAUGCAUAUAAUUAUAAAUUACUGUCUAAUAAGGAGGGAGAGCGAGAGAAAACCGAUCGCGAUCGUAUGGACGCUAAUGCCACAGCACCUAAAAAGGACCGUAACCGCAGUGCACAUCCUGGAAUGGAUAUUACGAGUUCAAUGCUUAUGGGUGUACGACCUAAUACUUCGCAGACACAGUUUCACCAGCAGUUACAACAACAGUCUUUAAAAAUAAGCAUGCCAAAGAAAUCAGACUCGAGCAUUAUCGGUGAACUUACUGGUAUAAAUGCCGGUAUCAAACGUCCCAAUGAAGGUGCCUACAAACAAGAAGAAGAACAAAAUAAAAUUCGGAAACUUGAUACUCAACUUACAUUGUCUUCGUAUAAUGAACCAAAAGCCGGCGAUAGUAACAAACUGCAUGUAGUAAAUGGAAUAGAAACUAAUCCUGAUAUGGUGAGGAGUUUGUUAAAAGAAAGCCUAUGCCCUUCCAAUGCUCUUUUGAAAACGGAACAGUUGGGAGCACUUAGUUUACAUCCACCAGCUGAACUUCUCGAACCAUCCGUAACCUCUGCUCCGGAUAUGACGGUUGCAUCUGCUGAGUCGUCGCUAAAAUCGACAAGCCAAAGUAGUGGAAUUGAACCAUCAUCUAUGGAAAUUAAUGAUUCCGGCAGUAAUAAAGCAGAAAAGAAAAAGAAAAAAGACAAGCAUAAACGUAAAGAUAAGGGUAAGUCAAAAGAUCGGGAAGAUCGAAAAAAGCACAAAAAGGAUAAAGACAAGCAUAAGGAACGUGAUCGGGGCGAAUUAGAAAGCUCCGGACACGUAAAGAUUAAAAUAUCUAAAGAUAAAAUUGAAGGAACUGCCGAAUGUUUAAAAAUCAAAAUACCAAAAGAACGUAUAAUAAGUGAUGUGAACAACAGUACGUGCAGUGCUAACAAUAGCUCUACAGAUAGCGGUAGCGGUAUGCACCCGGCACCAGCGUUAAAAAUUAAAAUCAGCAAAGAUAAAUUGGAAAACUAUGCGACAGACUCCUCUACACAUUCAUCUUUACAACAAGCGCAGGCGCUGGCACAAACGGCAGCUGGUUUCUAUUCGUCCUUCGUAACACCCAAUAAUGCAUCGACAUCCACGUCACAUAGUAGUAGUGGUAGCAGUAGUAGUGGGAAAAAAAAGGACCGAGAUCGUGACAAGGAUCGCGAGCGAGAGAAAGACAAAAAACGGGCAAGCAAUGAAGGCAUUAAAUCGAAUGGAAGUGGAUCAUUUCAUUCGGCAAUGAUGUUACAAGGCGGUACUGGGGGUUCACUGCUUUCACAUCCGCCACCAACAACUGUCGUGACGUCGAAAAGCCAAAACGUCAACAAGAUGCAACUCUUAUCGAAUAAUAUGAAUCAGCUCUUCGGAGAGUCGAAUGAUGAUGAUGAUGACUAUGAUGAUAAUCACAGUGUUAAUCAAAAAAAUUAUAAGGAUUAUCAUAAAAACAGAGUUCAAAACACGGACUCCUUCGCAUCCACAUCCAAUAACUCUGCGGGUUCUGUACGUAAAAGCACCGAUUACGGGCAAAAAUAUUCGCAAUCACAUCAAAUGCAACGAUGAUAAAUCCAAUCAUCACGUAAAAUUGUUUCAUACUUCUGAAAUAAAUUGAAAUGAGUCCUGCUGGUCUGGUACACAAGUGCUAACUGCAUGUGGAGGUGAAAUAUCCGUCAUUUCAUAAGUCCAGUGUUAUCUUUCCAUUUGUGUUCUGUAUCUUAUUAUUUGAUGUUCGAAGUCGUAGUCUCCAUUGAAUGUGAAAUUUUUUAAAGAGGCGUUACACUUGGCAGGACUGGCAUAUACAUACUGCACAUAAGUUGGUUUGCAAAAUUUACACUUUACGUACAUUAAGCUGCUACAUACGUAUAAGAAAACAAACGAAUAAAUUCUACAAAAAAAUGAAAGUAAACUUUAUAACGUAGAGAUAUUUAAUUUUAAUGUUCGGGCAAGACACUAACUUCGCCAUGAACUGGUGAAUAACAACAAUAUUCACACAUAAUUUCAUUGACACAUGUUAGAUAUUGCGUUAUAGAGCCAAAUACUCACGCAAUUCAAUUGACGCAUUUACUACUUAAAUUAUUAAAUACGCUGGAGUAAAGGCAAAUCAAUUACAUUUAGUCAGUGCUGUUCCUCUAUUUUGCAAUAUUGUUCAGAAAUAUGUAAACAACAAACUAUAAAAAAAAUAGUUUGGGGCACGGAAGUGAAAGUGUUUUGAAAAGUGAUUAUAGUUCAUAUGUCUCGCGCGUAAUGAGAUGGAAACCAUAAAGAAUCUCGCAUGUAAAUAUACCGGAACAACGUACUUAGUAUUUGGGUGAUUUUGCAAAGUACGCGUAUAUAUGUACAAAUAACUAAACGUACAUAAACAACAUUAAUACUGGCCUAAUUUACUUUCACUUUCGUUUUUAUUAAACCAACGUUUGUUUUUUGAUAUUCAUAAUUUUUGAGUGAAGAAUUUUUAACGAUUGUAGCAAUUGUAGAACUUUUAAUAAUUCGUAUUAUAAAUGUAAAAUAUAUGAUUUUUGUUAAAAAGAUGUAUAAAUCUAAUUGGAAUGAAGAUUUUUCUUUGAUUGGCAACUGUGUAACAAAAUUCAAUAAAUGCGAUCAACGUUUGUAUUGAAUUUCAAACCUUUACACAAGAAAAUAAUAAUUUAUUACGCUAAUAUGUUUGAAUUUAGAAAAUUUGCUUAUUUUGCAAUGUAAGUGCUUGUUUAAUAUAUAUAAAGCAGCACUCUGCAACAGUGUUGAAAAUAUACAAUUUUAUAUUUAUAUUAUUUUAUUCAGGCAAUCAAUUGUAUGUACAUACAUAUAUACAGACAUAUGAUGUUGUAAUUGGAAUAAUUAGGGAAAAGGCAUUCUUAUAUGGAGGUCAUAGGUAUUCUACUAUGCGAUAAAGAAUUUAGUGAUUGUUGAUAAAAAUGAAAGUUUUUCUUUAUUUUUUUCAAAAAAUAAUAUUUUUUUGUAUUGUGUUACAAUCUUUUCAAGAGGAUAUAACCAUAUAGCAUUUAAAUAAACUUAAGUUAGCUACUAGUUAGAAUAAAACAAUUUGAGAUUAAGUUUUGGUUUUUUUUUUUGUUUUGCUAUAACAGUGAUGAAUGGCAAUAUUUUUUAAAUCAAGCCUCUGUUGCUUGUAGUUUUGAAUUAAAAUUUGGCGAUCGCAAUUUUAACGCUAUAGUUUCAUACAAUAUGCAUAACCUAACUAUAAUACUUAACCUAUGUGGAGCAGAUAUAUUUUGCAUUGUUUCCGAUAAUGUUGCCAUUAAAUUCUGCCUUGGCAUACAUGAGAAAGUUGAAAUGACCAGCUCUACAUUAUACUUAAUGGAAAUCUGUCACACGUGAUCAAACGUCCACACUAAUAUUCACAUAAAUACAAUUCAGUUAUAAACAAAUGAGCCCACACAAAAGUUUGUGCGUAUAUAUAUUCAAAUUCGCCUACCACAUAUAUACAUACAUACAUAUGUAUGAUUACAAGUAAUUCAAAUCUCCCAAAUACGGUCAACGUAAGUUUAACUAAAUAAGUAGCAUUUGAAAACAAGUAAAACACAUACAUACGAAAAGAAACGCAAGCCAACACAAACAAUUUAAUUUAUGAUAAUGAAUGGAAAGCAGUUAGCGAUUCAAACUAACAAUAAUUUCAUUGCAAUCUAUUUGCAGUUACAAAAUCUAAGAGAUCGAUUAUUGAAAUAUUUUCCAAGCCGUUAAUAAGUUCAAUUUAAGCACGGACAAAGGUUUUACGAAAAAUUAAAUAUUGUUGUAUAUAAAUUAGAAAUACAAAAACAUAUAUGGAACAAUUGUAUUGGAUGCUAAAAAUAGAAAAAAAUUAAAUGCAUUGAAAUUCAUAUAAAGGUUAUUAUAUAAUAUUAUAAAAUAAAUAGCACGAUUAUAGCAAACAUAGUUUUAAACAAAGUUGGCGAGUAAAGGGAUAGCGGACAAAACCGUGGCUUAAGCUUAUCGUUGUAUGUAUAAAUAUAAUUAUGUAAGUCUUAUUAUUAAAUCCUAUCAUCAUAAUUAUCAUCCACAAUUGUAUAAUAAUGUAUUGAUUUUAGUUUUACAAUUGUCAUUGUCCUUAAUACAUAAAAGCAAUAAACAAAUUUCAUUUGGCCUUUCAUAAAAUCAUACAAAAAUAUA